UACGAGAGGCGCAAACGUUAUUCGGAAUUACUGGGCUUAAAGAGUUCGUAGGCGGCGCGGAAAGUGGGGUGUGAAAGCCCUCGGCUCAACCGAGGAAUUGCGCUCCAAACUACCGUGCUUGAGGAAGCUAGAGGUGAGCAGAACAGAUGGUGGAGCGGUGAAAUGCGUUGAUAUCAUCUGGAAUACCGGAGGCGAAGGCGGCUCACUGGGGCUUUUCUGACGCUGAGGAACGAAAGCCAGGGUAGCGAACGGG
This 253-nucleotide ribosomal RNA is filed under the name uncultured bacterium. RNAcentral describes it as "partial 16S ribosomal RNA". It matches the Rfam family "Bacterial small subunit ribosomal RNA", at positions 524 to 776 of the family's 1533-position model. The record is from RNAcentral.